Long non-coding RNA from Papaver somniferum (opium poppy), 2457 nucleotides. RefSeq lists it as uncharacterized. The transcript is spliced from 6 exons. The record is from RefSeq and is a predicted model, not a curated record. NCBI's taxonomy places the organism in Eukaryota, Viridiplantae, Streptophyta, Magnoliopsida, Ranunculales, Papaveraceae.
CGAUAUUCCAUAAAAACAUAGAAUAUUAGCUCUUCUAAAUCAGAAUAGAAGUUUAGAAAAACUCUUCAAACCCAUUUUGUAUAAACUAGAAAAGGAAGAUUUCUGUCCAGUCACUGAAGAUGGCAGGAUCAGUAAAAUCAAUCAGCAGUCCACUUCCAGUUACUUUGUUUCCAACUUUAGCUGCUCUUAUUGUUACUGCUUCAUUCUUCAUCUUUGAAGCUACCUCAAAUUUGAGUUUGAUUAAAUGGUGAAAGUGAAACAGUUAAAUCUGGAACGUUUAGAUAUCGAAUUCUUUGUGAAGACAUGCAUUUCACAUAUCUCAUGAUUAUUCUGAUGAAUUUGUUAUCCAGCAUUAAGAGGGUCUGAGGAGUAACAAAUGAGUUGUUUUGCUAGUUAUCUACUGGGUUCACAAAUCCAGCCUCCCUCGCCUAACAUUUUCCUAUUACAUGCCCUUGGCUGUAUAUCUCAUUUUUUUCAUAUGGAGUGCAAUAGCUAUGAAAUACUGAACAUAAAGUUUCAUAGUUUUCUUGAAAUUAUUGUCACUACGAUCUUGAGCAUUCUGGUCUUUGCAAUCCAUUACACCUUCCUGCAACUCAAAGCAGUCCGAGGUUUAUCAUUUUGUUUGGGGUUUGAUAGGUCAUGUUGAUUGUUAUUUCUUUGUGUGUGUAAAAUUCAAGUCCUAUGUCAGGUAUGGGAAUACUAUUUGGUGAUCCUAGGAUGUUCCAGUAAAGAACGGCCAAUGGUCAUGGAAUUAUGUCAAUAUGAUCUUAGGAUAUUCUGUUUUGGGUUAACCUUAAUGUUUUGGUCUAUUUUAAGCUUUUGUAGUUUUUGAAACGGGAGACUACGCAUCGCUAAAAUUUCGUUACUUUUUUGUAGUCUCAGUUAUAAAGUAAAAUGUUAGGGCAUCCCACUGUUUUCUCUGCAUCAGGGUUAGUCUGUCUCAAAUUUAUAAAGUACCAUGUGAUCAGAUGGUUGGUACUCGAGUGACGUCAGUAGAACCUUUGGGUUUGUUGGGUCCACUACUUAACUGUGAACAUUUUGAUCUGAUGCCUUUUUAUUGUAGGUGGAUAGAAUUUGAGUUUACUGAAAAGAGGUUUAUCAGUGAAGCAUUUGUUACUAAGUUUGAGCCUUUACUCUGAUUAUUUGGUACUUAUCUACUGGGUUCAUAGAUCCAGCCUGACAUUCAUCUCAUUCUUUCAUAUGGAGUGCAAUUAGCUAUGGAAUACUGAGUACUAAGCAGAGUUUCAUGGUUUUCUAAAAAUUGUUGUCACUACGAUCUUGAACAUUCUGGUCUUUGCAAUCCCUUAUCCUUGUUACAACUCAAUGCAGUCUUGAGGUUUAUCAUUUGCUAUGAAGCCACCUCAUCUGGAAAAACUCGCAGUGUUGUGAAGGAGCUGAUAACCUGGACAGUUGCAUCUGUUUUCCUGGGUUUUGGAUCAUUGUUCUUGCUACUGGCUUCUGAUGUUUAUGUUUGAUAGCGACACAAGUGCAUUUGUACCUGUUUCCAAUCCCCAAAUUCAAUUGCCAAUAGCACUGCCAUUUAUAGAACCAGAUCUAACAACACAAAAAUAACCAUAGAGGAGGUCCCAGAGUACGGUGCCCCCUAUAAACCAACCCGACCCAUUUUUGCCUUAUACGGAAAAAAGAACAGGGAAAAGAAAAAGUGAUGGGGAGUAUCAUCAGACCUUCAUUUACUUUUUCAGACAACAACAAAAAGCCUGAGAGAGCAAUUAAAAGAGAAAUCAUUAAGAAGAAAAAAAAGGAGAGAUUAUGAAGGAAAAUGAAGGAAAGAGGAAAAACAAAUGAUAGAUACACACAAUGGAAAUCACUUUUACGAUUGGCUUGCUAAUCAUAACCUUGUUUCCUUUUCCUUCUUGCCGGUGGGGUCCUCAGCUAGAGCAAGCAAGCUACUUACAAAACUCACCAACGUCUUCCCUUUUCUGAAGAGGUAUACAGUCAUUGUUGUUGUUGUUGGUGGUGUGAGUUGAGGUCUGCUGAAUCUGUUUACGCCGGCUUGCCUGCCUAGACAUUAUCUGCGGGACGUAUAUCUUGUAAAAGGAUUACAAACAUCACUAAGAAGUCAGUGACUUUGGUGGUUUUGUGCAGAUUCUAACUGGGCAUCAAGAUAAUGCGGAAUUUGCACUUGAUAUGUGCCCGACUAAGCCUUCGUAUUAUCUGGAGGUUAGAUAUUUCAAGUCUGUGCCUUCUGGAGGUUAGAUCUUUGUAGAUGAUGCCUCUGAGAUAUGAUUUUUGUUUUAUUGAAUAGUAUUCUGAAACCUUGACUGAUGGAGGCAUGAUAGUGUAAUAUCUUUCAACUCAUGACAUUUUUUAGCAGUAUGCUGCAAACUAUUCCAAUAAUGAGUUAUGUGUUCAGUGACUUCCCUUGAGGAUGCAGAGUUUUUUGUUUAUUGAUUGUUUUAGUUGUUCUGGACCUGAAUAUGGAAACGAUCUACAUUU